AAAGAUUUAAGUUAAAAAAACUAUUGACCUUCAAAGUCAAAUUUGGAUAAUUUUCCAAUCUUUA
This 64-nucleotide transfer RNA is filed under the name Sympiezomias velatus. RNAcentral describes it as "tRNA-Trp". Lineage: Eukaryota; Metazoa; Arthropoda; Insecta; Coleoptera; Curculionidae. The record is from RNAcentral.